RNAcentral lists this ribosomal RNA (492 nucleotides) under uncultured bacterium. Its description in RNAcentral is "partial 16S ribosomal RNA". It matches the Rfam family "Bacterial small subunit ribosomal RNA", at positions 29 to 507 of the family's 1533-position model. The record is from RNAcentral.
AGUGAACGCUGGCGGUAGGCCUAACACAUGCAAGUCGAACGGCAGCACAGUAAGAGCUUGCUCUUACGGGUGGCGAGUGGCGGACGGGUGAGGAAUACAUCGGACUCUACUUUUUCGUGGGGGAUAACGUAGGGAAACUUACGCUAAUACCGCAUACGACCUACGGGUGAAAGCAGGGGAUCUUCGGACCUUGCGCGAUUGAAUGAGCCGAUGUCGGAUUAGCUAGUUGGCGGGGUAAAGGCCCACCAAGGCGACGAUCCGUAGCUGGUCUGAGAGGAUGAUCAGCCACACUGGAAGUGAGACACGGUCCAGACUACUAAGGGAGGGAGCAGUGGGGAAUAGUAGACAAUGGGCGCAAGCCUGAUCCAGCCAUACCGCGUGGGUGAAGAAGGCCUUCGGGUUGUAAAGCCCUUUUGUUGGGAAAGAAAAGCAGCAGGUUAAUACCCCGCGGUUCUGACGGUACCCAAAGAAUAAGCACCGGCUAACUUCGUG